Molecule: ribosomal RNA, 461 nt
Filed under: Streptococcus sp. oral taxon 064
Lineage: Bacteria; Bacillati; Bacillota; Bacilli; Lactobacillales; Streptococcaceae
Description: bacterial SSU rRNA
Rfam family: Bacterial small subunit ribosomal RNA
Source: RNAcentral
GACGAACGCUGGCGGCGUGCCUAAUACAUGCAAGUAGAACGCUGAAGGAGGAGCUUGCUCUUCUGGAUGAGUUGCGAACGGGUGAGUAACGCGUAGGUAACCUGCCUGGUAGCGGGGGAUAACUAUUGGAAACGAUAGCUAAUACCGCAUAAUAGUAGAUGUUGCAUGACAUUUACUUGAAAGGUGCAAUUGCAUCACUACCAGAUGGACCUGCGUUGUAUUAGCUAGUUGGUGGGGUAACGGCUCACCAAGGCGACGAUACAUAGCCGACCUGAGAGGGUGAUCGGCCACACUGGGACUGAGACACGGCCCAGACUCCUACGGGAGGCAGCAGUAGGGAAUCUUCGGCAAUGGACGGAAGUCUGACCGAGCAACGCCGCGUGAGUGAAGAAGGUUUUCGGAUUGUAAAGCUCUGUUGUAAGAGAAGAACGGGUGUGAGAGUGGAAAGUUCACACUGUGAC